UGAGCAGGCUGCUUUUGCUCCUAAGUCGCCAACAGCUGUCUGUGAGACCCCAGACAGCUAGAAAGGCUGUCAGCCCCUUCUUGGGAACCUUUGGAGUCAUCAUUUAAGAAAGAGUUCGGAAACCACUAGUCAGUGACAGCCACCAAGAGGACUCUGCAUUUUGACCUCCUCAACAUCUAUGCUGUUUUGUUUAUUUUCCCCGCAGUGAUUGACAGUUGAACACUUCACUUUAAGAAAAAGGCCUUGUGAUCUGUUUCAUGGACAAGAAUGAUAAAGAAAAAACAAAACAAAACAAAACAGCUCCCAUUCCCCUGUCAACCAGCAGGGCUGCCGGAAACCUGAGAUAGAGAAGCGGGUGCUGGCAACACGGGAGAAGCAGAAUCCGGAUGGAGCCUGAGACAGGGAGAAAGGAAGGGCUUUUGAGGCUGAGAGAAGGGUAUCCACAGAGGCAUGGAGCCAGGGCCAACAGGAACCUGGUAGGUGUGUCCCCAAGAGGGACCACUCUGUGCUUGACUUGGGCCUGGCAUGAAGCUGGCCUCAGCAAAUGGGUGAGGAGCUCGAUGGGCGACACUGCCGGGAGACUCCAGGGCAGAGAAAGAGGAGACUCAGUUGGGGCACGUGGACCCUGGUGUCGGAGCACCUGGGAAACACCUUCUGUGACCUCCAGGACGAGCUGGAGAGACAAAGAGCCCAGAAAUACUGACCCACCGUCUCCAGACCUCAGAGCUGGAUGCUAAAUGAACCCAGGCUCCGAGCUCCCUGCUCAGGGUCUGUGCCACCCUGCUCUGAGAUUCCUAACUGCUCAUCUCAAGCUGGUUGGGAAAGGGGUAGUAGAGGAAAGCUAGCCUCCUGGAAGGCCUUCCACCCUCCCAAGACUCAGAGCCGCACCCUGGCACGGCUUCCAGCCAUUUCUGCCUUCUUCUACUUACCAAAGGAAAAAAUACUGAUUGUAAACAUCACUUUAAAAGCAUGCCAUCCGACAGCCGGCUCAGCUGCAAUACAUCAGCCUGAAUUGUACUCAUUUAUGGUGAAGCAUUUUAUAUUAAUGUUUUCAUUGCUUAUCACAGACACUGGCUUUAAAGUGCUUAAGCCAGCUGUACUGAGUUAUUU
RNAcentral lists this long non-coding RNA (1110 nucleotides) under Equus asinus (donkey). RNAcentral describes it as "lncRNA (ENSEASG00005024288.1)". Lineage: Eukaryota; Metazoa; Chordata; Mammalia; Perissodactyla; Equidae. The record is from RNAcentral.